ACGAACGCUGGCGGCAUGCCUAACACAUGCAAGUCGAACGAGACCUUCGGGUCUAGUGGCGCACGGGUGCGUAACGCGUGGGAACCUGCCCUUAGGUUCGGAAUAACUCCCCGAAAGGGGUGCUAAUACCGGAUAAUGUCUUCGGACCAAAGAUUUAUCGCCUUUGGAUGGGCCCGCGUUGGAUUAGCUAGUUGGUAGGGUAAAAGCCUACCAAGGCGACGAUCCAUAGCUGGUCUGAGAGGAUGAUCAGCCACACUGGGACUGAGACACGGCCCAGACUCCUACGGGAGGCAGCAGUGGGGAAUAUUGGACAAUGGGCGAAAGCCUGAUCCAGCAAUGCCGCGUGAGUGAUGAAGGCCUUAGGGUUGUAAAGCUCUUUUGCCCGGGAUGAUAAUGACAGUACCGGGAGAAUAAGCUCCGGCUAACUCCGUG
RNAcentral lists this ribosomal RNA (432 nucleotides) under uncultured bacterium. RNAcentral's name for it is "partial 16S ribosomal RNA". It matches the Rfam family "Bacterial small subunit ribosomal RNA", at positions 29 to 507 of the family's 1533-position model. The record is from RNAcentral.